RNAcentral lists this long non-coding RNA (713 nucleotides) under Heterocephalus glaber (naked mole-rat). RNAcentral describes it as "lncRNA (ENSHGLG00000050445.1)". Lineage: Eukaryota; Metazoa; Chordata; Mammalia; Rodentia; Bathyergidae. The record is from RNAcentral.
CUCAAAUGCAGGCUACUUGCCCUUCCAGAUGGUCUCAGAUACAGAUUUAACCCUUACAGAGCUCUGGAAGGAACAAGACAACAGACUUUCCCAUACGGGGUUCACUGAGAAAUCCUGGGCCAGUGUCUGUCUAAGGAGACUGAGAUCCGCCUGUGUACAGAAGAGAGACUGUGAAGGCUGUGUAGAGGAGCUGAGCCUUCAUUGACCAACUUGAGUUACAACCAGCCCUCGGAAUGAAUUGAGCUUGUCUUGACCUUAGUCAGUCACAGGGCUUUUGGGGAGUCUCAGCUGAGUGCCUGAGAAUCAUUGCGGUUUCUAAGCAGUCUGCACUGCAUAAUCUUACACUCUUCUCUCCACCUAUCAGCCCUACCUCCGUGGCGUCUCAUCUUCACAUCCAGAGUCUUGACAAAGGCGUUACAAAGUCCGGUUGUUGGGGAAAGUCUUGUGAAGAGCAGCUCUCAGGCUCUUAGCGUCUCCUGCUCUCCUUGGGCUAUCACUGGUGCUGUUCUGCGGUGCAGCCGCCUCUGCUCAGUGAGUCCACACCGCUCCUGGCACCACCUGUGCUGUGGUCCGGAAGGUAAUCCCGGCACCAGUCCAGGGGACACGGGAGCUGUGCUCGCCGGCCGAGCGAAUCGCCUUUCUGUGGUGCUUGUCUGCUAGCACCCGAAGAGCACGUAUCUCGGGUGCUUUGUUCAAUUCCAUGUUCGACUAUG